GGGGCUUUUGCAAAAAAGUCUAGUGAUCUGAGGGAGGAACGAAUGGCUUCAAUAAGGAACUCUAUACUUGUACCUGUCUCUUUCAAUUCA
Long non-coding RNA from Neltuma alba, 90 nucleotides. RefSeq lists it as uncharacterized. The transcript has 3 exons. The record is from RefSeq and is a predicted model, not a curated record. NCBI's taxonomy places the organism in Eukaryota, Viridiplantae, Streptophyta, Magnoliopsida, Fabales, Fabaceae.